UCUCCGUAGGUGAACCUGCGGAGGGAUCAUUACUGAGUGAGGGUUUCGGCCCGACCUCCAACCCUUUGUGAAUCGUACUCGUUGCUUCGGGGGCGACCCUGCCGCUUCGGCGGUGCGGCGCCCCCGGAGGCCAUUAAACACUGCAUUCUCUGCGUCGGAGCAUUAGUAAAUCUAAUCAAAACUUUCAACAACGGAUCUCUUGGUUCUGGCAUCGAUGAAGAACGCAGC
RNAcentral lists this unclassified non-coding RNA (228 nucleotides) under uncultured fungus. Its description in RNAcentral is "sequence contains ITS1, 5.8S rRNA gene". The stretch from base 180 to 228 matches the Rfam family "5.8S ribosomal RNA", at positions 1 to 49 of the family's 154-position model. The record is from RNAcentral. Lineage: Eukaryota; Fungi.